Molecule: ribosomal RNA, 484 nt
Filed under: uncultured bacterium
Lineage: Bacteria
Description: partial 16S ribosomal RNA
Rfam family: Bacterial small subunit ribosomal RNA
Source: RNAcentral
AUUGAACGCUGGCGGCAUGCUUUACACAUGCAAGUCGAACGGCAGCGCGGGCUUCGGCCUGGCGGCGAGUGGCGAACGGGUGAGUAAUGCAUCGGAACGUGCCCAGUAGUGGGGGAUAGCCCGGCGAAAGCCGGAUUAAUACCGCAUACGACCUGAGGGUGAAAGCGGGGGACCGAAAGGCCUCGCGCUAUUGGAGCGGCCGAUGUCGGAUUAGCUAGUUGGUGGGGCAAAGGCUUACCAAGGCGACGAUCCGUAGCUUGUCUGAGAGGACGACCAGCCACACUGGGACUGAGACACGGCCCAGACUCCUACGGGAGGCAGCAGUGGGGAAUUUUGGACAAUGGGGGCAACCCUGAUCCAGCCAUGCCGCGUGCGGGAAGAAGGCCUUCGGGUUGUAAACCGCUUUUGUUCGGGAAGAAAUCCUCUGGGCUAAUACCCCGGGGGGAUGACGGUACCGGAAGAAUAAGCACCGGCUAACUACGUG